AUUUCAGGGCGACUUUGGGAACACAAUAGUCGACUCGCCGACGUUCCCUUAGACGCGUUGCCAUACGUCGUCACCCAUAGAAACGGCUUUCCGCGGGGCAGACUCCAAGUCUCGCCUGUGUGAGCGGGCAGGGGUAGCAGGAAAGGCUGUUUUUCAUUUCCAAGAGAAAACCGUCACCCCGCCCACCUCGAACCUCCUCCCAACAUCUCAGGAUAGAAACGCCGCGCUCAGAAAGAUACAAGUCUUCUCAUUGGAAAUGUUAACCAAGAUGAAUGAAAUGGAAACCAACACCUGGACAUGUCAUGGUGAAAUGUUAGAACACUGGGCACGAAGGUAAAAUCCUAAAAGCUUCCAAAGAGAUAAACAGGUUAAGCUCAAAGGAAUGGGAAUCAGUGUGGCAUCAGGUUUCUCAUUGGCAUCAUUGCUGGAAGACAACAAUCUGAGGAAAAAUCAGACUGAGAA
This 462-nucleotide long non-coding RNA is filed under the name Homo sapiens (human). RNAcentral describes it as "non-protein coding lnc-FAM161A-1:3". Lineage: Eukaryota; Metazoa; Chordata; Mammalia; Primates; Hominidae. The record is from RNAcentral.